GAGACGCUUCCUUGACCUUCCCUCUCCUCCUCUCCUGAUGUGUUGCUCCUUCUUCACCUCCUCCUUGUCGCCGGGCGUCUGACGCUCACGUUUGGACGACGGCUGCGUCCAUGCAAAAAUGGGUUGUGGCAAUUCGUCGGCCGCCAGCACCUCGGGAGGGGGGCCAGCCGAAGCCUCCAGGGAUGUGACAGAAGAUCCCUUGGCAGACGAUGAGAAAAGAAGGAACUAUGGUGGCGUGUAUGUGGGUCUCCCAGCAGACUUGACCACGGUGGCCACUCAUUCCAAGUCAACCCAAAAAGGUAGCCCCCUGUGUCAAAAAAUAAAAAUAAAUAAACUAUGAGGCUCUCACUGGACAAAUGAGGACAACCAGACUAGCGCAGUCAGUGAAUUGGACACAACUGAGGCAACCUGAAUAUUCACCUUGAGGCACCCCCGACCGACUCCCCCUUGGAUGUGCCGUGACCUCACCGACUGAUGGGUCAGCCCUCUUAGCGCGCCGCUAGAGUCGAGAUGCAGACAUUUCGUCACGUCGCCAAAGACGACGCUGUGUCGUCGGCUCCUCACGGGAGGCAUAGCCACACACCAUGGAACUCUAUGGAUGCCAUCCAUAAUCAUCCUUCAAAAAUAAAAAGAUGGGCAUGGAAGUGGACAAGCGCCCUUUUGGGGACUGCAAAGCACCAGCGGGGGCACAGACCGUCGUGAUGUCCAUCUUGGCGUGUCAGUCACAGUUAUGAAAUGUUGCUGGCUAAUUAAGAUGUUUUUUUUU
This is an RNA transcript of Phycodurus eques (leafy seadragon), 766 nucleotides long. It is a transcript of the gene named overexpressed in colon carcinoma 1 protein homolog, with no coding region annotated. The record is from RefSeq and is a predicted model, not a curated record. The transcript is spliced from 6 exons. NCBI's taxonomy places the organism in Eukaryota, Metazoa, Chordata, Actinopteri, Syngnathiformes, Syngnathidae.